UCUAAAAAAAUCAGUAACUGGUCCCAAAUCGCAAUUCAUUAUUUGGGCCUUGAGCGCCAAAGAGGAGCGGCAAAUGAAAUAGAGUACCAAAACAUUGAGAACUUAAAAACCUUUUUUCCUUGAAAACAUAGUUGCCAAAUGAAAUAUAAUAAAACUAAAACAUUCUAAAAAUUAAAAACACUUAUUUGUUUUAUGGAAACACCAGCAGGUCUACCAAUCUCUAAGCCCUAAUCUCCAGUAACCAAGGUUGUCGCAUGUUUAUACCCAGAUAUGCUCGAGUGCUUUGGCCAUUUUCCUUACAACUUGGGUGCUUUCUCUUGGGGCAUGUACUAAGUUGGCGUAGGAAAUAGGAAGCGUAGCUAAUGUAACAAUUUACAGCGUGUAAUGUUGAGCUCCGCACUUGAUAAAAGAUUGGUCCUGGAUUUUUAAAUGAUGAAGAUAUUUUUCCUCGCUGGCCAUCAGGGACAAAGUGGUAAGAUCAUGAUCCGCAGGGGAACAGAUCACUCAUUCUUCCAUUGGGACAGGUACACGAACGAUUUGAAUUUUUUAUCUUUUGGUUAGUUUAGUAUGUUAAGGUCAUGCAGCUCUUAGGAUAAUCUAUGAUAUUUUCCCUGCCAGUUAUUGCAGAAUAUGUAUUACACUAUUGGUAUUUGUUUGCUUUUUGAAGGUACAACAACCUUCUCCCACUUUGCUGUUUUUGGAAGAGCAAAGCUCUCACUAUCAAGUUGGGGAUUAAGCUGGUACUCAUAGCAAUGAUUAAUUAAGCAUGCUGAGUGAUGUGCUUGAAAAUGCAAAUACUUCCUAAGUAUAUUUUUUAUUACAUAAUUGUAGUGUUUAUAGUAUUCAAGUACGAUUGAGCUAAAUAGUGCUAGGGACGUAGAAUGUAGUUGUGUUAUCUUUUGUGCUUAUCAUACAUAAAAAUGGCAUAUUAUGCAUCCAUGCCCUUAAUAUGCAUAUAUCUACGUAGUAGUGUUUGGGUAAUGGUUAUCUAA
Molecule: long non-coding RNA, 992 nt
Organism: Lycium barbarum (goji berry)
Lineage: Eukaryota; Viridiplantae; Streptophyta; Magnoliopsida; Solanales; Solanaceae
Exons: 2
Source: RefSeq, a predicted model, not a curated record